Molecule: long non-coding RNA, 498 nt
Organism: Mirounga angustirostris (Northern elephant seal)
Lineage: Eukaryota; Metazoa; Chordata; Mammalia; Carnivora; Phocidae
Exons: 4
Source: RefSeq, a predicted model, not a curated record
GCAGGCCUCUCCGCCGCCUCCGCCCCGCAGCUGGGCCCCGCCGCGCCACCUCCCACAGGCCCCCACGCCCGGCCCGGCCGGCGUCAGAGCAAUACGUCGCUGACUACAACUCCCGGUUCUUCGAAACCUAGUAGAAGCUAACAGCCUUGGCACUGGAGUGCAAGGGCUCAAAAUGCAUCUUUAUGACUUACUUGGCCAAGUUACUUCCCCUACUCUGUGUGCCUCCCUGGAGAUGAUAACAACAAGACCACCUCCAAGCUUAUGUGAGACAGGCCUCCAACAUAAUAUGGGAAUCAUGAUAGCAGGCAUCCUUUUUUUGUUCCUGACACAGAGGGAAUAUAUCUCACUUUUCACCAUUGCGGCGGUCUGGCCCAGGGAUUCAGACCCUCCUGAUAGGUCCAGCAGUCACUUACCAGAGUGGGAGAGGAUAUGAGCCUUCAGCUUGUCUGGCCGGUUGAAUUCUUUACUGCAGCCCGUGUGUGUCCUAGAACCCAAAAC